AACAAACGCUGGCGGCGUGCCUAAUACAUGCAAGUCGAACGGGGAAAGCUUUCGGGCGAGUACUAGUGGCGCACGGGUGAGGAACACGUGGAUAAUCUGCCUUGGAGAGGGGGAUAACUAGUCGAAAGAUUAGCUAAUACCGCAUAAGACCACAGGAACUGAGGUUCUAGGGGUCAAAGGUUUUUCGCUCCAAGAUGAGUCCGCGUAAGAUUAGCUAGUUGGUGAGGUAAUGGCUCACCAAGGCGACGAUCUUUAACUGGUCUGAGAGGAUGAUCAGUCACACUGGAACUGAGACACGGUCCAGACUCCUACGGAAGGCAGCAGUAGGGAAUAUUGCACAAUGGAGGAAACUCUGAUGCAGCGACGCCGCGUGAGUGAUAAAGGCCUUCGGGUCGUAAAGCUCUGUCGCAGGGGAAUAAAAAAUGAAGGUACCCUGCAAGAAAGGAUCGGCUAACUUCGUGCCAGCAGCCGCCGUAA
This 477-nucleotide ribosomal RNA is filed under the name uncultured bacterium. RNAcentral's name for it is "partial 16S ribosomal RNA". It matches the Rfam family "Bacterial small subunit ribosomal RNA", at positions 29 to 523 of the family's 1533-position model. The record is from RNAcentral.